UACGGGGGGGGUAAGCGUUGUUCGGAAUUACUGGGCGUAAAGGGCUCGUAGGCGGCCAACUAAGUCAGACGUGAAAUCCCUCAGCUUAACUGGGGAACUGCGUCUGAUACUGGAUGGCUUGGAUUCGGGAGAGGAAUGCGGAAUUCCAGGUGUAGCGGUGAAAUGCGCAGAUAUCGGGAGGAACACCAAUGGCGAAGGCAGCUCGCUGGGACGGUACUGACGCUGAGACGCGAAAGCGUGGGGAGCAAACAGG
Molecule: ribosomal RNA, 253 nt
Filed under: uncultured bacterium
Lineage: Bacteria
Description: partial 16S ribosomal RNA
Rfam family: Bacterial small subunit ribosomal RNA
Source: RNAcentral